UACGUAGGUGGCAAGCGUUGUCCGGAAUUAUUGGGCGUAAAGCGCGCGCAGGUGGUUCUUUAAGUCGGAUGUGAAAUCCCCAGGCUUAACCUGGGAACUGCAUCCGAUACUGGAUGGCUUGAAUCCGGGAGAGGGAUGCAGAAUUCCAGGUGUAGCGGUGAAAUGCGUAGAUAUCUGGAGGAAUACCGGUGGCGAAGGCGGCAUCCUGGACCGGCAUUGACGCUGAGGAGCGAAAGCCAGGGGAGCAAACGGG
This 253-nucleotide ribosomal RNA is filed under the name uncultured bacterium. RNAcentral describes it as "partial 16S ribosomal RNA". It matches the Rfam family "Bacterial small subunit ribosomal RNA", at positions 524 to 776 of the family's 1533-position model. The record is from RNAcentral.